UGAGUAACACGUAUCCAACCUGCCGUCUACUCUUGGACAGCCUUCUGAAAGGAAGAUUAAUACAAGAUGGCAUCAUGAGUCCACAUGUUCACAUGAUUAAAGGUAUUCCGGUAGACGAUGGGGAUGCGUUCCAUUAGAUAGUAGGCGGGGUAACGGCCCACCUAGUCUUCGAUGGAUAGGGGUCCUGAGAGGAAGGUCCCCCACAUUGGAACUGAGACACGGUCCAA
Molecule: ribosomal RNA, 227 nt
Filed under: uncultured bacterium
Lineage: Bacteria
Description: partial 16S ribosomal RNA
Rfam family: Bacterial small subunit ribosomal RNA
Source: RNAcentral